GAUCUACUCUACUUUAGAGAAGAGAGGAGAGCUCUCAUCUCUAAACCCUAGCUUUUGCUCUGUCUAUGAAUAAUGAAUAAUGAUCAAGGGGUGCCUCCUCCAGGGGCCAGGGGGUCUGGUUUUAUAGUCCCCUCAAGUGAACCUGGGCCGUCGGAUCAAACCGACAUUGAUUGAACGGUUAUUCUUGAUCCUUUAGGUCGGUGGAGCAUAAUCCGCGAGAUUGAGCAUGAUUGGCCACAGGAGGUGGGCGGGCGCCCAGUAGGACAGGGCGGGCGCCCUGUCUCUGGCCCCGUUUCGCCUCCGCUUCGGUCUCGUGGCUUCUGGAGUCUUCUAGAUGUAAGAUAAUUGUACGGCACGUUGAUAUCUCUAUGAAAUCCCGACGUGUGGGCCUUUCUUCCUUAUUUCCUGAUAACCCCCUACAGAAAUAGACAAACACCAAAACUCGUAGAAUUCUGUCAGAUAAAACCCUAAGUCUUGAUGUUGAUUUCAUUUGGAUCCUUUUCUUUGUUUAUUUGAUAGUUAAAUUUGAUACUUAAGGACCGUCAACAAACUCCCCCAAGCUUACCUCUUGCUCGUCCCUGAGAAAGGAUAGACUCAGCUAUGGAUCAUAAGUUGUUGCAAUAUCUUUAAAAAUUGACGGUACACAUGCUUUUAAAUGAAGUCUCAUCUCUGAGUUAGAAUAAACUGUCAAGACUUAAAACUUACUUACUUUACCUUUCACCAUGGGACUUGUAACCGUCACUUCUGUCUUGAGUGGUUAAAAGAUAGAACAGUCCCGUCAAGUGCCAUGUCUCUUAUUCUUGAUCAGCUAUAGCUCUGGAGUUUUUGUAGAUUUUCAAAUAAAACUCAGAGAUUCCUUUGUAUGACUCUCUCAUAUCUCUCUUUUGUGGUAUUUCUGGAUCCUUACCAAGGCAGUGAUGGUAUAUGCCUUCUCUCAAAAUAUGUGGUAUUUGUGGUAUAAGGCAUAGUGACAUUGCCUUCUCUCUCACCCUACUCUAAUAAGGCUUUAAUAUCUGGAGCUCAUAGGUGGGAGAUAAAGUAUACAUACUUUCAAGACAUGUAUUGCAUAGUCAAACCAUGGAUCCAAAGAAACAAAUCAAUAAGCCAAAUCAAGAUGUGCAUGUGUGGCGAAUGAAUGGUGAUGAUGGUGAUAACAAUGGUGAAAGUCUAAUUCUACUUUUGCUCUUAUGAGGGGACACAUACCUUCCUUGCUUUUUGAAACUUUAUGAGGAGAAUGAGAUGCUCUUCUUUUUCUUUCCUCUCAGGUGGGUAUCUUGUACCCCUAAUUCUACUGUCGGACACUUGUCCAUUUUUACCUCUCGUCUCACUUUUUCUUUCUUUCGAGAUUCCGGGCACUUGCCCCUUUUUAUUUCCUCGUUUAUUCUCUUUUUUUUUUCUUUUCUUCUCUUUUCUUCUUUUUUUUAGAGCACUCAUCUCCUGAAAUAAUGUAGCAAGUGGUAGUAACCAAAAUAACUAGAGCAUUUAUUUCACAGGGAAUAACAGGGAUAGGAAAAUGUUUUUGGUUAUUCUCUCCCGGAUUAGGAGUAGAAUGAUUUUGGGUGAAACUGGAGAUGGAAAUGGAUGGAUAUAUGUGGAUGGUACUUCCGGAGUAGAAGUAGCAUAUAUGAGUGAACGUGCAAGUGAAUCUUGAUUUAACCACAUGACAAGCUCCUAAGGGUCUACACAGCUUGACCACACUCAAUGCUCAUAAGCAGUAAAUAAAUGUGUGGCUCAAAGUCUAGCAAGCAUGUAUACAUGGCUGUGGUAGGAAUUUAAACUUUCAUCAUACAGGAACUCAUCAUGCAAUAUUUUAAAGAUUUUUCAAAGAUAAAAUUCUCCAGAAUUCUAGCAUCUCUAGGAAUAGAUAAACAGCAGCUCAACCUUCCCAUAUCGUAUCCGUUAACAACUUAGACUUUAGAUCAAGUUUUCAUCCCACAAGUUUAGGUCUAGAGCAAGCUUUAAAUUAUAACAGUUAUAUCUAAACUUGAGAGAGAACUUAAAAUUUGCAAAUUAGGCAGAGCAGCUAUUCAUCAUAUCCAUGCUAGAGUUUUAUUAUUAAGAUUCAGAUUAGCAUAGCCACUUUAUUUAUUUAUUAAACACACUAAGCAAAAGAUAUAUAUAUAUAAGCACAAAAUCUUUAUUUGGUUUUUCAUAGUUUAUGUAUUUUAAUAUUAUAAUAUAAUAUAAGUAUAAAGAUAGGUAGAAAUACUUAGCGAGAUAAAUAGGGGUGCUCUCCCCCAAGCUGAAUUUUGACGUAAUUUCUCUUAAUGUAGCUAGCAGGUGGCAGAGGUGUAUUUGAAAGUCAGCAGCAUUCUGACAGCGAUUAGAAUGUCCUCCAUCUGCUAGUCUUCUUGAUUCUUAAAUUCUGUGGAGCUCAAAUAGACAACAAAGCUUGUGGAACUAAUUAAGUGUUAGCAUAAAUAUCUAGCCUUCAUCACGUUGAGCUUCCUCAAUAAAUAUUACUCCCUGUUUUUAUAUUUUUAUUUUAUAAAGUAGAAAAGAAAUAUUUAUUUUAUUUUUAUGCCACCACAGUGAAGGUACUUAUGGGUUUUAUGCCAUUCGUAUACUCAAAUGGGGCUUAGUAUUUUUUUAACAUUUUUAUUUUCUUUUCAAGAUAGCAUGAUUAACUAAUAAUCUAUUUAAGGAAAGUAAAUAAUUAAAUGGAAAAGGGAAUGCAGAAAGGAUAAAUAUGGAUAACUACCAAUCUUACCUUUCGGCGAGGGUUCAAUGUUUUAAGUCUUCUUGUCAAGACUUCUCAUCGUGUUCAUUCUUCAGGUGCGUCAUUUGAUUCAGGUGCGGACCUUGAUGUCUGCACCUUUUAAUACGGUGUCACCCAUGUUCUUCGUUUGCCCAGCAGUUCGAAUUGCGGUGUUAGCAGUAUCUUGCUCAGCGUGUUUGUGCUCGUAGUGUACCUGCUCAUAGAGACAAGGCAGAGAUCAAGUGCAUGGGCCCUGUUGGUGGAAAACACCAACAGAACCAAAAGUGUAUUUGUUCUUCUCUAACCUUAAGCAUAGUGAGCAAGACAAAGUUGAUGGAUAAUAAGUUCAUGAGUGUAGCACUUAUAACAUUUGUCAGAUCAGAUCGCUCAACCUUAUGGAAAGAUAAUCUAUUUAUGUAUAUGUCUUUUUCUUUAUAUCUCUCAAUGAUUGAAUGUGUAAUAUUUUAGCUCAUAUGAUUAGGAGUGUGGGAUCAUGGAGGUAGUACUAAGAACAAGGAUUAAAGGACUAAACAUGUUUAAUCAGAUGGGUUGGUUAAUCUAGAGUUGUAAAUCAUACACGUUUGUCUCUUUUAUUUAUAUGAACGCCAGAACCAAGGAGAAGCUUAUAAAAGUGAUAGUCAAGUACCUUAAGAUGUUACCUUGCUCGAAGAGUGAUGGUACAGUAUCAUCUUGUGGAAGCUUUCCUUUCUUAGCGGUUGUGCGUCGUGUUUGUGGCACCCUCCAUGGAUCAUCUCUCUAUGAUGAAUGAGCUAUGUCCUUCUUGUGCAAAUUGUUAAACUUCAUGUGUCACUCUCUUCUUCUCUGAUGUGAGUUUAUCUCAGGACUUCCCAAAUCGAUAUUGAAAGUUUUUCUGCGGGGGUUAGUCCGACAAAAUAUACCAAUAUCUACUCAAGCAGUUUUUUUUUAGUUCAAUAACCAAACUAGACUCCAUGUCUAAUCAGAUUAAGGAAGGCUAUUUAACCUAAGCACCAUGCUUAAUUUAAAUGCCAAUGGAAGUAUGGCGAGUACUUCCAAACCAACACUUGCUAGUAAAUAGACAAAGGUAGCAUGACAGCGUUUAUAGAGAUCUACUCAAGUGGAGAUGAAGUAGUGUGAUUAGUAUUUAACAAAUUGAGCAUGUCUCAAAGGUAGGGACAACCAGCAUAGCAACAUGGCAAAGGAUGUUUUUAUGUAAAGUACUCCUCCAAGCUUGAAUUUUGCAGAAUUCAAGUUUGGAUGAAUUUAAUUCAGUGUUGCAUGAUGAUUGGUUGGACAUACCUUGUGCUUGUCAUUCAUCCGAUCUUCUUGCUCCAAUCCUAGAAAGGUUAGUGACAAGAAUACCCGAAGGAAUAUUUUUUUUUUACAAUUAUCCUUAUAUGCUCAAUACACAAGGUAAUGUUGCAAAUAAUUAAAAGCUCGUGUUACAAUCUGAUCAAUGCUUAUUUUAAGACACUAAGCUUGUCCUUGGGAAACCAUCAGUUUAUGUUGGCGAAGUGGUUUCCCCUCCGACGCCAACCUAUAUCGAGAUCAACUCAACGAGAUCUGCAAUAUUUAUUAUAGACAUAUGCAUCGACAACCGCCCUUUUAAAGUUUUUAUAAAUAGAAAGGAAGAGGGGGUUGGAGAUCUCAAGUGUGGUGAUGUCGGAGAGACCAAUAGAUUGGGAAGAUGUUGCAUAUGAGCAUGGAGUAAACGAAGUGGCUAUGAAAUAAAUUCCAUGCUCAUUAAUGUUAUCUUCGUCUCUAAUCUGAAUGUUCGGAGUUUCUCCUGGAUUGGUCUCACCUAUGUCCUCUUCUGUAGUUGGAUGAAUCUCAUCUUCAAAGGGAGUCAAGAACUCACCAUUUGAAAUUGAGCCAAAGUCAGAACCCAUUAAGGCUUCUUCCUUAUCCAUCCAUUCUACACAUUCUAGCCAUUUAGAACUUGUGAUCAUGGAAGGGGAGUAGAUAGAAUUGUCUAUAUGGCUUAGCUCUCCUUCACUUGAUAUGUCAUCCUCGACUUCUUCAUGAUAGGAACCAGGAUAUUCUCUAAGAGAAACAUUAUUGCAAGGAUUUGAAUUAUCCCUGCUUGAAGGUCUCUUAUAGAACCAGAAGUCUAAACCAUCAGCAUCUAAAAGAUUUAAGGUUGGAACUCCUUCCUCUCUUGGAGAAUUUUGGGGUAUUGAUGGUUUAGGAUCGAUAGCUAAAGUUUGGGAUUGAAGUGGUUGUGAUCUGGCUAUCGAAACUUCUUCUUCUUGCCUAGGAACUGGUUCUUUCUCUUUCUCAGGGAUAUAAAAGCUAGGAGACUUUCCGCUCAUUAAAUCAAUCAAAUUCCAAGCUUCACUAGCGGAUAGGUGGUGGAAAGAUCCUCUAGAGGCCGCAUGAAGGGUUUGCUUAUCUUCCUUACUAAGGCCCUCAAAAAAGUGAAUUAGAAGAACUUCUUCUAGAAUAGAAAGUUUUGGGCCAGUGAGAGUAAGGUUAAUAAAGCGGUCCCAUGAUUUGCCAAGAGAUUCUUCUUCCAGUUGUCUAAAAGAAAGAAUCUCACACCGAAGUUCCACCACUUUGGAGAUUGGAAAAUAUUUAGAAAGAAAACUACUAUAUAACUCCUUCCAAUCUCCAUGAGCACUCCCUACUUUGAGGUUAUACCAAUGUCUAGCUUUUCCCGUUAAAGAGAACGGAAAGAGCUUCCAUUUAAGGGUCUCAUCGGACAUGCCUUCUAUGCGAAGGAGGUCACAGACUCGAUAAAACUCUCUUAGGUGUGUGUAUGGGUUUUCCUCACCUUCUCCUGAGAAAGGUUGUUUUUGAAUAAAUUCUAUGUAUUCGGGGUCUAUCUCAAAACUCGAUGCUAUGAUAGGCUUUGAAGAUUUUGGUGGUUCGAGAUGUGUGCCCAUAGGUCUAUGAAAUUCAUAGAUAGACAUGUUUGAAUUCAUAAUAGACCAGAGAUCAAGGAUUAGAUAAGAAGAAAGAAUAGCAGAGAUGAGGCAAAGGAUAAAAGGAAAAUAUUUUUUUUUUGUUAUAUAUUUUUUUUUAUAAAAUGAUUAAACUAGUUCGUAGUCAACUCAGCAACCGUUUCCCCGGCAACGGCGCCAAAAAUGCUUGUUGACACUUGCUAACACCACUUGAAUACUAGGUUGUCAUCCCCAGCAUGGCACUAGAGUGUACUAUGGUAUUUAUACGCAAACAGAUAAUCCGCAAGCGCACGGAUACCGUUGAAGCUUUUACCCGGUUAAAGGUUUUAUCGUAUCCACAGGGAAACGGGAGAACCAACUACGCUCUAACUUAACCAAGAUAGAUAGAUAGGUGUAAAUAGGAAAGUUGAUAGAAUCGAAUAAGAACAAUAUUAAAGGUAAGAUAACAGUGAGUGAUAAUAUGGGAAUAGAGAGUAGAGCAAUUCUAGUAUAUGGGCGAUGGUAGCAGAAUAGAGAGGAUAACUAUGGUUUCUCUACUUCAAAGGGGUAUGUCUAUGUCUGGGACGAACCACGUGAUAAGAGUACACCACAAAGGAUGCUUAUCCAUAGGCCGAUAAACCCUACCCGUCCUGCUAACGAGAGGUGGACUACAGGGGACCAACGUAACUGUCACCUACGCGGCCUACCACACGAUCCAGCUAGUCAGGGGAUAUCCACAAGUAAUCUAGGUCUAAGCACCACGCUUACACCUAUACUACAACUCUAACCUAUAGGGUCCUAUAGAUUAGAAGUACUCAAAAGAGUUGUGAACCAGAACAUACAUGAUUAGUAAUUGCAUAAUGAAUUAGAAGUAGAUUACCAGAGUCAUCCCAUGAGCAAGCUUGAUUAGAGCUUGAUCAUGGCGAAGUACAACCGAAGGAAGAACCGACAGGCCGGCCUCUCCUCUAAUCCUCCUUCGCUCUCCAUCUCGCUACUAUCUAGAUCUACUCUAGUUUAGAGAAGAGAGGAGAGCUCUCAUCUCUAAACCCUAGAUUUUGCUCUGUCUAUGAAUAAUGAAUAAUGAUCAAGGGGUGCCUCCUCCAGGGGCCAGGGGGUCUGGUUUUAUAGUCCCCUCAAGUGAACCUGGGCCGUCGGAUCAAACCGACAUUGAUUGAACGGUUAUUCUUGAUCCUUUAGGUCAGUGGAGCAUAAUCCGCGAGAUUGAGCGUGAUUGGCCACAGGAGGUGGGCGGGCGCCCAGUAGGACAGGGCGGGCGCCCUGUCUCUGGCCCCGUUUCGCCUCCGCUUCGGUCUCGUGGCUUCUGGAGUCUUCUAGAUGUAAGAUAAUUGUACGGCACGUUGAUAUCUCUAUGUAAUCCCGACGUGUGGGCCUUUCUUCCUUAUUUCCUGAUAACCCCCUACAGAAAUAGACAAACACCAAAACUCGUAGAAUUCUGUCAGAUAAAACCCUAAGUCUUGAUGUUGAUUUCAUUUGGAUCCUUUUCUUUGUUUAUUUGAUAGUUAAAUUUGAUACUUAAGGACCGUCAACAAACUCCCCCAAGCUUACCUCUUGCUCGUCCCUGAGAAUGGAUAGACUCAGCUAUGGAUCAUAAGUUGUUGCAAUAUCUUUAAAAAUUGACGGUACACAUGCUUUUAAAUGAAGUCUCAUCUCUGAGUUAGAGUAAACUGUCAAGACUUAAAACUUACUUACUUUACCUUUCACCAUGGGACUUGUAACCGUCACUUCUGUCUUGAGUGGUUAAAAGAUAGAACAGUCCCGUCAAGUGCCAUGUCUCUUAUUCUUGAUCAGCUAUAGCUCUGGAGUUUUUGUAGAUUUUCAAAUAAAACUCAGAGAUUCCUUUGUAUGACUCUCUCAUAUCUCUCUUUUGUGGUAUUUCUGGAUCCUUACCAAAGCAGUGAUGGUAUAUGCCUUCUCUCAAAAUAUGUGGUAUUUGUGGUAUAAGGCAUAGUGACAUUGCCUUCUCUCUCACCCUACUCUAAUAAGGCUUUAAUAUCUGGAGCUCAUAGGUGGGAGAUAAAGUAUACAUACUUACAAGACAUGUAUUGCAUAGUCAAACCAUGGAUCCAAAGAAACAAAUCAAUAAGCCAAAUCAAGAUGUGCAUGUGUGGCGAAUGAAUGGUGAUGAUGGUGAUAACAAUGGUGAAAGUCUAAUUCUACUUUUGCUCUUAUGAGGGGAUACAUACCUUCCUUGCUUUUUGAAACUUUAUGAGGAGAAUGAGAUGCUCUUCUUUUUGUUUCCUCUCAGGUGGGUAUCUUGUACCCCUAAUUCUACUGUCGGACACUUGUCCAUUUUUACCUCUCGUCUCACUUUUUCUUUCUUUCGAGGUUCCGGGCACUUGCCCCUUUUUAUUUCCUCGUUUAUUCUCAUUUUUUUUUCUUUUCUUCUCUUUUCUUCUUUUUUUUAGAGCACUCAUCUCCUGAAAUAAUGUAGCAAGUGGUAGUAACCAAAAUAACUAGAGCAUUUAUUUCACAGGGAAUAACAGGGAUAGGAAAAUGUUUUUGGUUAUUCUCUCCCGGAUUAGGAGUAGAAUGAUUUUGGGUGAAACUGGAGAUGGAAAUGGAUGGAUAUAUGCGGAUGGUACUUCCGGAGUAGAAGUAGCAUAUAUGAGUGAACGUGCAAGUGAAUCUUGAUUUAACCACAUGACAAGCUCCUAAGGGUCUACACAGCUUGACCACACUCAAUGCUCAUAAGCAGUAAAUAAAUGUGUGGCUCAAAGUCUAGCAAGCAUGUAUAUAUGGCUGUGGUAGGAAUUUAAACUUUCAUCAUACAGGAACUCAUCAUGCAAUAUUUUAAAGAUUUUUCAAAGAUAAAAUUCUCCAGAAUUCUAGCAUCUCUAGGAAUAGAUAAACAGCAGCUCAACCUUCCCAUAUCGUAUCCGUUAACAACUUAGACUUUAGAUCAAGUUUUCAUCCCACAAGUUUAGGUCUAGAGCAAGCUUUAAAUUAUAACAGUUAUAUCUAAACUUGAGAGAGAACUUAAAAUUUGCAAAUUAGGCAGAGCAGCUAUUCAUCAUAUCCAUGCUAGAGUUUUAUUAUUAAGAUUCAGAUUAGCAUAGCCACUUUAUUUAUUUAUUAAACACACUAAGCAAAAGAUAUAUAUAUAUAAGCACAAAAUCUUUAUUUGGUUUUUCAUAGUUUAUGUAUUUUAAUAUUAUAAUAUAAUAUAAGUAUAAAGAUAGGUAGAAAUACUUAGCGAGAUAAAUAGGGGUGCUCUCCCCCAAGCUGAAUUUUGAUGUAAUUUCUCUUAAUGUAGCUAGCAGGUGGCAGAGGUGUAUUUGAAAGUCAGCAGCAUUCUGACAGCGAUUAGAAUGUCCUCCAUCUGCUAGUCUUCUUGAUUCUUAAAUUCUGUGGAGCUCAAAUAGACAACAAAGCUUGUGGAACUAAUUAAGUGUUAGCAUAAAUAUCUAGCCUUCAUCACGUUGAGCUUCCUCAAUAAAUAUUACUCCCUGUUUUUAUAUUUUUAUUUUAUAAAGUAGAAAAGAAAUAUUUAUUUUAUUUUUAUGCCACCACAGUGAAGGUACUUAUGGGUUUUAUGCCAUUCGUAUACUCACAUGGGGCUUAGUAUUUUUUUAACAUUUUUAUUUUCUUUUCAAGAUAGCAUGAUUAACUAAUAAUCUAUUUAAGGAAAGUAAAUAAUUAAAUGGAAAAGGGAAUGCAGAAAGGAUAAAUAUGGAUAACUACCAAUCUUACCACUCCGCGAGGGUUCAAUGUUUUAAGUCUUCUUGUCAAGACUUCUCAUCGUGUUCAUUCUUCAGGUGCGUCAUUUGAUUCAGGUGCGGACCUUGACGUCUGCACCUUUUAAUACGGUGUCACCCAUGUUCUUCGUUUGCCCAGCAGUUCGAAUUGCGGUGUUAGCAGUAUCUUGCUCAGCGUGUUUGUGCUCGUAGUGUACCUGCUCAUAGAGACAAGGCAGAGAUCAAGUGCAUGGGCCCUGUUGGUGGAAAACACCAACAGAACCAAAAGUGUAUUUGUUCUUCUCUAACCUUAAGCAUAGUGAGCUAGACAAAGUUGAUGGAUAAUAAGUUCAUGAGUGUAGCACUUAUAACAUUUGUCAGAUCAGAUCACUCAACCUUAUGGAAAGAUAAUCUAUUUAUGUAUAUGUCUUUUUCUUUAUAUCUCUCAAUGAUUGAAUGUGUAACAUUUUAGCUCAUAUGAUUAGGAGUGUGGGAUCAUGGUGGUAGUACUAAGAACAAGGAUUAAAGGACUAAACAUGUUUAUUCAGAUGGGUUGGUUAAUCUAGAGUUGUAAAUCAUACACGUUUGUCUCUUUUAUUUAUAUGAACGCCAGAACUAAGGAGAAGCUUAUAAAAGUGAUAGUCAAGUACCUUAAGAUGUUACCUUGCUCGAAGAGUGAUGGUACAGUAUCAUCUUGUGGAAGCUUUCCUUUCUUAGCGGUUGUGCGUCGUGUUUGUGGCACCCUCCAUGGAUCAUCUCUCUAUGAUGAAUGAGCUAUGUCCUUCUUGUGCAAAUUGUUAAACUUCAUGUGUCACUCUCUUCGUCUCUGAUGUGAGUUUAUCUCAGGACUUCCCAAAUCGAUAUUGAAAGUUUUUCUGUGAGGGUUAGUCCGACAAAAUAUACCAAUAUCUACUCAAGCAGUUUUUUUUUAGUUCAAUAACCAAACUAGACUCCAUGUCUAAUCAGAUUAAGGAAGGCUAUUUAACCUAAGCACCAUGCUUAAUUUAAAUGCCAAUGGAAGUAUGGCGAGUACUUCCAAACCAACACUUGCUAGUAAAUAGACAAAGGUAGCAUGACAGCGUUUAUAGAGAUCUACUCAAGUGGAGAUGAAGUAGUGUGAUUAGUAUUUAACAAAUUGAGCAUGUCUCAAAGGUAGGGACAACCAGCAUAGCAACAUGGCAA
This 10436-nucleotide long non-coding RNA is filed under the name Sorghum bicolor (sorghum). Its description in RNAcentral is "long non-coding RNA (SBIC_LNC010693)". Lineage: Eukaryota; Viridiplantae; Streptophyta; Magnoliopsida; Poales; Poaceae. The record is from RNAcentral.